This 219-nucleotide long non-coding RNA is filed under the name Elaeis guineensis (African oil palm). Its description in RNAcentral is "long non-coding RNA (EGUI_LNC069580)". The record is from RNAcentral. Lineage: Eukaryota; Viridiplantae; Streptophyta; Magnoliopsida; Arecales; Arecaceae.
UUUAAAUAGGAAGAAGAGAUAAGGUUUUAGGUAGGAGAUAAGAGUCCAAACUCCUUAGGACUCUAGAAUUAUCGCCGCCACAAAAUUUCUCCUUUUUGUGGCCAGAUAUCACAUGGAGAAAAGGAGCUUUUCCAUGACUUCUUACAUGCAAAAGAGGAGAGGGAGUUGGGUAUAUGUGGCAUCAAAAAUCUGGUAGGUGUGGGCUUCCUUAUAGCGCAU